Molecule: small RNA, 124 nt
Filed under: Salmonella enterica subsp. enterica
Lineage: Bacteria; Pseudomonadati; Pseudomonadota; Gammaproteobacteria; Enterobacterales; Enterobacteriaceae
Description: RtT sRNA
Rfam family: RtT RNA
About the family: This family represents a bacterial cis-regulatory element known as RtT RNA. The exact function of RtT is unknown although it is thought that it may be involved in changing the cellular response in relation to amino acid starvation.
Source: RNAcentral
AUUCUACCCAUGUGGGAAGGAUGAAGCUUCGACUAAGGUUCGAUUCGAGCGCAGCGAAAGCGUUACGAGCAACGACGAAAGAGCGAAAGCGCGCAGCGCUGAGGUAAUCGCUUCCCCACCACCA